CCUUCGAUAGCUCAGUUGGUAGAGCGGUGGACUGUAGAAAGUUUCGGGCUGCAAGACUGCAUUCAGCUGAAGAUCACUCUCCAUCCAAUAGAAAUCCAUAGGUCACUGGUUCAAAUCCGGUUCGAAGGA
Molecule: transfer RNA, 129 nt
Filed under: Anopheles dirus
Lineage: Eukaryota; Metazoa; Arthropoda; Insecta; Diptera; Culicidae
Description: tRNA tRNA-Tyr
Rfam family: tRNA
About the family: Transfer RNA (tRNA) molecules are approximately 80 nucleotides in length. Their secondary structure includes four short double-helical elements and three loops (D, anti-codon, and T loops). Further hydrogen bonds mediate the characteristic L-shaped molecular structure. tRNAs have two regions of fundamental functional importance: the anti-codon, which is responsible for specific mRNA codon recognition, and the 3' end, to which the tRNAs corresponding amino acid is attached (by aminoacyl-tRNA synthetases). tRNAs cope with the degeneracy of the genetic code in two manners: having more than one tRNA (with a specific anti-codon) for a particular amino acid; and 'wobble' base-pairing, i.e. permitting non-standard base-pairing at the 3rd anti-codon position.
Source: RNAcentral